UUUUAAAAAGUAUCACUUUAAAUACGAUCUGCUCACUGUAUCAUAAAUAGCCGCAGUAACUUCACUGUGCUAAGGUAGCAUAAUCAUUAGCCUUUUAAUUAAAGGCUAGAAUGAACGAUCCCKCAAUUUAAUUUCUUUUUUUUUCAAAAAUAAUUUAAUUUAAAUUAAAAAUAAAAAUGUUUUUAUAAAAUAGAAAGACGAUAAGACCCUAUUGAACUUUACUUAAGUUUAGCUGGGGAAGCUGUUUAAAAACAAUUUUAAAUAUAUUUUUAAAAAAAAAUUCCAAUAAAAUUGAUAAAAACAAGUUACCAUAGGGAUAACAGCGUAAUAUUUUUUAAAAGCUCUUAUUAAAAAAAAAGUUUGCGACCYCGAUGUUGAAUUAAUUUUACUUUAAAAUGCAAUUAUUUUAAUAGUAGGUCUGUUCGACCUUUAAACAAUUACAU
This 443-nucleotide ribosomal RNA is filed under the name Neriene sp. TAB-2009. Its description in RNAcentral is "partial 16S ribosomal RNA". It matches the Rfam family "Archaeal large subunit ribosomal RNA", at positions 1926 to 2672 of the family's 2987-position model. Lineage: Eukaryota; Metazoa; Arthropoda; Arachnida; Araneae; Linyphiidae. The record is from RNAcentral.